GACCCAUAAAAAACUUCAGAGGACCCAAUGGCAAAUUUGCACCACGAUCAUCGUUUGAUUUCGUAACAUUACACACCACCCCUCCGACGCAAUUGUUAGCCCCGUCGGGAAUCAAUUGUGCAAAAAGUCAGUUGUACGGAAGUCUCCGACGCAAGGAGACAACAAAAAACAACAACCGGGUGUUAGGUUACAAACAGGGGUUCGGUGGUCAAUAAGGUUGUGGGUUCAUUUUUUGUUGUAAAAUUCAAAACCAACCUCUUGUUGCUCGCGGAGCUGAUUUUCCUUUCGUCGUUCGUCCGGCACGCUCAACGGGUAAACCUCGAUGCGCGCUGAACUUUCGACCUGAAAAUUGGAUGAAUUAAUUUUUAAAUAAUUUAGCUUAUUGGCUAGGGAUUGAUAAGAUUUCUGUUCAUGUAUGAUGGUUGAGCAAAUAGUGAUAACGAGUGGGGGGUGGAGGAGGACAAUGGAUAUUAGAAAUCAAUAAGCAAACGAACAUUGAGCAACUGAUCAGAUCAGCUCAACACACAAAUUGCUCCGAUUUGCAAACUUUUUUGGGCCUCUUUUGUAGAGAACUUUUCAUUGAAAUUUAAUCGAAGAAAGUGGAAAAAAUACCCUCAAAAAUUUGACAAACUAUCAAGAGCAUCUUCACGUAAUUCAAAAUGAUCUGGAAAACUCGACAGUGUUCAAGAAAAAUUGAACAAAAAGAGAAAAACGGAUCUUGUAGGUAGGUACAGCCUACCUGGCCGUGCUCCCACUGGGCUUUAGUUUAAGGCCCGAGGAGGGGACUGUGGCCGAUUAUCCA
This is a non-coding RNA of Caenorhabditis elegans, 802 nucleotides long. Ensembl annotates it as ncRNA. Its record names the gene F54E2.8. The record is from Ensembl. NCBI's taxonomy places the organism in Eukaryota, Metazoa, Nematoda, Chromadorea, Rhabditida, Rhabditidae.